UAGAGGGCUGUUGAUCUUUGAAGACGGAUUCACAUGUCUGCUUUCUGUCGCCCGAUGUGUGCGACUCUUGUUCCAUUGCAAUCACUGCCCGUUCUGCGGCAAUAGAAGCUGUUACUAGCUCGCCACAAAUCAGCGCAAGAGCAUUUACAAAACAGCGCUCCAAGUGACUUUGUGAGGUACUACACAUUUUAAAUUGAUGUUUAAAUUGUAACGAAUAAUCUGCAUCAUUUUACAUAGUAGUUUGAUUGCAACGAAAAUCAGCAUAAUUUAAAUAAUAAUAAAGAUGAACGACACACGGAGUGGAAGAAAGGAAAAAUGUCAGCAGAUACAAGUAUUUGUUCGUGUUAGACCUAUCAGCAAUUUUGAGGAAAACAAUAAAUCUACAUCCAUAUUAGAAGUUCCAAAUAAUAGGGAAAUAAUAAUACAUGAACGUCCAAAUGACAAAGUUUCUAAAAAAUUUAAGUUUAAUAAUGUAUUUGGACCUUUGUCAAAACAGAUCGAUGUAUAUAAUGUCGUUGUUAGUCCAUUAUUGGAACAAGUAUUGGCUGGAUAUAAUUGUACAGUAUUUGCAUAUGGUCAAACUGGUACAGGGAAGACAUACACAAUGGAAGGAAUUAACAAUGAUCGAACAUUAUAUUGGCACAGUGACUCGUCUGCUGGCAUGAUACCACGUUCUUUAAGUCACUUAUUUGACAAAUUGCAACUACUGGAAACUCAGGAAUAUACAAUUAGAGUUAGUUUUCUUGAACUCUAUAAUGAAGACAUAUUUGAUCUUUUAUCAUCUAGUAAUGAUGCAUGUAAAUUGAGGCUAUAUGAAGAUGCAUCAAAGAAAGGUGCAGUAAUCAUACAUGGAUUAGAAGAAGUAACAAUACACAAUGCAAGUGAAGUUUAUAAAAUUAUUAAGAAAGGGUCUGACAGAAGGCAAACAGCUGCAACAUUGAUGAAUACUCAGUCUAGAUGCCGGUCCCAUACUAUAUUCUCAAUUACUAUACAUAUGAAAGAAAGUACUGGUAAUACAGAUGGUGAAGAGAUUCUGAAAAUGGGGAAAUUAAAUUUAGUGGAUCUGGCUGGUAGCGAAAAUAUUGGAAGAUCUGGCUCUGUUGAUAGGAGAGCAAGAGAAGCUGGUAAUAUUAACCAGUCUUUAUUAACUCUUGGCAGAGUUAUAACAGCUCUUGUUGAAAAAGCACCUCAUAUACCUUACCGGGAAUCUAAACUUACAAGAUUACUGCAGGAAUCAUUAGGUGGUCGGACAAAAACGUCAAUUAUCGCAACAGUAUCCCCUGCUAGCAUUAACCUUGAGGAAACAUUAUCAACGCUAGAUUAUGCACAUCGUGCAAAAAAUAUCACAAAUCGUCCAGAAAUAAACCAGAAACUUUCGAAACGAGAAUUUUUGAAACAAUAUACAGAAGAAAUUGAAAAGCUGCGAAGAGAUUUAUUAGCUUCACGUGAUAGAAACGGUGUUUAUCUUGCAGAUGAUAAUUAUAGAGAAAUGGAAACACUAAUUUCACGACAGACUAAGGAAAUAGAAGAAAAAAUUAAUCAUAUAAAAGCGCUUGAGAAAAUUAUGCAAGACAAGGAGAGAAUAUUUAAUGAACUUGAAUUGCAAAAUAUUGCCCAGACAAAAGAAUUAGAUGAAGUUAAGACUAAAUUAAAUAAUUUCUCUGAAGCUCUACAGUCGUCAAAUUAUCGAUUAAAAUUAACAACGCAGGAACGAGAUGAGCAUAAAUAUUUAGUAGAGAGAUAUAUGAAUACAGAACAAUCUUUAUUGAAUCAGGCUCAGACUUUGCUAAAUGUUGCAGAUACAGCAAUAACAGAUUCAUAUAAAUUACACGACAAAAUUGACAGGAAAAGUAAAACAGAACAAAAAUUUGAAGACCUUGGUAGAACCGUGAAAAGUAAUGUUUGUGAAUGUUUGCAAAAUAUAGAAAAAAAUAUAUCUACAUAUGGUGAAAGAUUAAAGACACUUUUUCCAGCAAUGAAAAAUGACAUCGAAACCUCUACCAAAUGUAACGGUAUUGACACGAUAGUACAUCGAAACGCGAUGAGCAAUUCGAAUCAAUCAGAUACUACUAAUUUAACAAAAAAUAUAAAUGAAUUUCAUUUAGAGUAUCAGAAUUGGAUACAAAAUGAAGUAAGAAAUGUGGUUGGUACAGUGGAAUCUGAAGAUGAAUUAAUGAGUGUCAUUUCUCUGCAAUUGGUUGAAAGCAUCAACAGUAUGAUAGAAAAUGAAAUAGCUAAAAACCUGGAAAUCAUAAGGAAUAAUGUAUCUGAAAAAUUAAAACAAACUUCGACUCUUUUAAAAGAAAUGAUAGAUGCUUCUUGUAAUUAUGAAUUAGAGAUUAAUGAUCGUAUGAGCCAAAGUAUCAAAAGUAUUAUGGAAGCUGUUGAAGUACUUCGUAAAAAACAGGAAUUUAGUGAAAAACAACAGUUAUUUACUAAAAUGAUGGGAAAUCUAUUUUCACAGUCAAACGAAUUACAUAAAAGUCAAGGAAAGCAUUAUUCUGCUACAAUUGACAAAUGUGAUUAUAUUAGCAAAAUUUGUAAUGAAGCUAAUGUUCAAGCAACAAAUAGUUCUAAUAUAAAUGUUAAAAUGAGAAAUGAUUUAAAAGAUUAUAUACAAAGGGAUAUAGAGAAAAUUGAAAAUAACGUUAUUGUUACAACAAGACAGAAUGAAGAAAUUGCAAAUGAGAUUACAAAGCGAGGAAAGGAUUUAAUAAACGAAUUGAAGUCAAAUAUAAAUGAAAGUUGUAAUAUGUCGAAGCAGUAUACAAAUGAUAUGGAAUGUAAUAUUAAGGAAGAGCAACUGAAAAUGGAUUCAGAUAAGAAUAUAUCCCUUUCAUUAAUCAAUGAUGCACAUGAAGUAAUUUCAGAUAUAAGUAAAAACCAUGCAAGAUUCGUGAAAGAUAUAAAGGAAAAUACUGGAUAUGUGUCUCAAAACGUAUCUGCCCAAUUAGAAAACCAAAUAAGGGAAUCAAGUAUGCGGAAUGAUAAUAUUAUUGAACAGUUACAAAUAACAGUUAGUGAAAUUAACAAAUUUUUUGAUGAAGAUUUGCAACGUGAUGUCGCAACAGGAUUAACUCCAGCAAGGAAAAACUUUUCCUAUCCUCGUCAAUUUAAGGUAACGUCUCCACAUGAACAAAUUCUUAAAAAGUUUAGAGAAAGCAGAAAAUUUCUUGAAACAACAGAUGAUGAUUCUAUACAAGAUGACACAAUCACCAAUAGUGAAAUAAUGAAGGGCAUUGCAAAUUCAACUGCAUUAUCUGACAUUACACUUGUAUCUUCUGCAAUUGAUAAUAUAACAUUUGAUACCUCUAUUUCAAGUAGUAAAUUUAUGGAUUCUCAUACUGAAAAUAUUACACAAAUGUUAGAUGUAUCUCCAAAGUUGAUACAAUCCCAUACUCAAUCUGAAUCUGCAAUAUACAGAAAGAAUGAAAACAAGGAAAAUAAUAACUAAUAUACAACAAUCAGAACACAAAGUGAAACAAAAAGUGAAGCUGAUAGAAAUAUUUACAGUAUAGAAUCUUCUCCACUUAUUUUUAUACAAUCUGUCCAAUUAACAUUAUGUUACAUGUGUGCAUGUUAGUUUAGAAAACAUAUAUUACAUGUCUCAAUUUAAUUAUUAGGUGAUAGAAGAUAAAAUAAAUUUGUAUUAUAGAAUUAAAAGAAAUUAACUCUAAUCAUGUAUUCUUGUGUUUCGAGUGAAAGUUUUGGUCGAAAUGUUGUCAAUCUUCUAAGUAUUACAAUCCUGUGGGAAAAAAAUCAUACAAUAAUCUAAUGUGCCUCAUGACAGGAUCGAUGCUUGUAGGGGUGAAACUCCCAUAUCCGCCAAUUGUUUUAUGC
This is an RNA transcript of Bombus impatiens (common eastern bumble bee), 3840 nucleotides long. It is a transcript of the gene named kinesin-like protein Klp61F, with no coding region annotated. The transcript has 19 exons. The record is from RefSeq and is a predicted model, not a curated record. NCBI's taxonomy places the organism in Eukaryota, Metazoa, Arthropoda, Insecta, Hymenoptera, Apidae.